CUAAUGUAAAAGGCUCUUUUUAACAUUCACGCCGCAUACUCUAUUGAGGACAGUCAAAUCUCAGGCUGCAGAAGCAGACGAGCAUCGAAUCCUUUUCACGAUGAGAGCUAAGUGGAAGAAGAAGCGUAUGAGGCGUUUGAAGAGGAAGAGAAGAAAGAUGAGGCAAAGAUCUAAGUAGUCUAAUUUUGUUUAGACUUGGUAAUAGGAUUUAAGUUGGUGGUUAUAUUUUUAUGGUUUAGUUUUGAAUUUGUGUUGAACCUUUUUCUUCUGCUUAAACAGUGUUAUUGAGUUUUUA
Long non-coding RNA from Hibiscus syriacus, 295 nucleotides. RefSeq lists it as uncharacterized. The transcript has 2 exons. The record is from RefSeq and is a predicted model, not a curated record. NCBI's taxonomy places the organism in Eukaryota, Viridiplantae, Streptophyta, Magnoliopsida, Malvales, Malvaceae.